Molecule: long non-coding RNA, 221 nt
Organism: Aricia agestis (brown argus)
Lineage: Eukaryota; Metazoa; Arthropoda; Insecta; Lepidoptera; Lycaenidae
Exons: 3
Source: RefSeq, a predicted model, not a curated record
AAUUAAAAUAUUAUUAAGUCAAUUUAUUAUAAAACUCUUUAACACUAUAGAAAUUCUGGUUAGCUAUCCAUUCAUAUAAUUUAAUUUUAAACAUUCUUGUGCUGAGCGACUUGAUAUAUUUCGGUAUUCUAUUGUAUAACUGGACACACAUAUUAAUACAGCUAUUGUUAAAUUUGCUUAAUCUAGGGUUGUCGCUCACUACUAUAGCCAAUAGAAAAUAC